GUAGUACUCCCUCCGUCCGAAAAUACUUGUCGACCAAAUGGAUAAAAAGAUAUGUAUCUAGAAUUAAAAUACGUCUAGAUACAUCCCUUUUUAUCCAUUUUGAUGACAAGUAUUUCCACACGGAGGGAGUAGGUG
Non-coding RNA from Triticum aestivum (bread wheat), 135 nucleotides. Lineage: Eukaryota; Viridiplantae; Streptophyta; Magnoliopsida; Poales; Poaceae. The record is from Rfam.